AUUGAACGCUGGCGGAAUGCUUUACACAUGCAAGUCGAACGGCAGCACGGGGGCAACCCUGGUGGCGAGUGGCGAACGGGUGAGUAAUACAUCGGAACGUGCCCAGUCGUGGGGGAUAACGUAGCGAAAGCUACGCUAAUACCGCAUACGAUCUCUGGAUGAAAGCGGGGGACCGCAAGGCCUCGCGCGAUUGGAGCGGCCGAUGGCAGAUUAGGUAGUUGGUGGGUAAAGGCUCACCAAGCCGACGAUCUGUAGCUGGUCUGAGAGGACGACCAGCCGACACUGGGACUGAGACACGGCCCAGACUCCUACGGGAGGCAGCAGUGGGGAA
This 331-nucleotide ribosomal RNA is filed under the name uncultured bacterium. Its description in RNAcentral is "bacterial SSU rRNA". It matches the Rfam family "Bacterial small subunit ribosomal RNA", at positions 29 to 361 of the family's 1533-position model. The record is from RNAcentral.